UACGAAGGGGGCGAGCGUUGUUCGGAAUCACUGGGCGUAAAGGGCGCGUAGGCGGCCGGCUUUGUCGCGUGUGAAAGCCCCGGGCUCAACCUGGGAAUGGCGCGCGAAACGGGCGGGCUGGAGUUCGGGAGAGGAGCGUGGAAUUCCCAGUGUAGAGGUGAAAUUCGUAGAUAUUGGGAAGAACACCGGUGGCGAAGGCGGCGCUCUGGACCGAGACUGACGCUGAGGCGCGAAAGCGUGGGGAGCAAACAGG
RNAcentral lists this ribosomal RNA (253 nucleotides) under uncultured bacterium. RNAcentral's name for it is "partial 16S ribosomal RNA". It matches the Rfam family "Bacterial small subunit ribosomal RNA", at positions 524 to 776 of the family's 1533-position model. The record is from RNAcentral.